UCCCUGGUGGCUCAGUAGUAAAGAAUCUGCCUGCCAAGCAGGAGAUGCGGGUUCAAACUCUGUGUUGGGAA
This 71-nucleotide transfer RNA is filed under the name Bos taurus (domestic cattle). It matches the Rfam family "tRNA". From Rfam's summary of the family: Transfer RNA (tRNA) molecules are approximately 80 nucleotides in length. Their secondary structure includes four short double-helical elements and three loops (D, anti-codon, and T loops). Lineage: Eukaryota; Metazoa; Chordata; Mammalia; Artiodactyla; Bovidae. The record is from Rfam by way of RNAcentral. RNAcentral also lists the same sequence under 1 other name.